This 78-nucleotide transfer RNA is filed under the name Candidatus Bathyarchaeota archaeon. RNAcentral's name for it is "tRNA-Met". It matches the Rfam family "tRNA". From Rfam's summary of the family: Transfer RNA (tRNA) molecules are approximately 80 nucleotides in length. Their secondary structure includes four short double-helical elements and three loops (D, anti-codon, and T loops). Further hydrogen bonds mediate the characteristic L-shaped molecular structure. tRNAs have two regions of fundamental functional importance: the anti-codon, which is responsible for specific mRNA codon recognition, and the 3' end, to which the tRNAs corresponding amino acid is attached (by aminoacyl-tRNA synthetases). tRNAs cope with the degeneracy of the genetic code in two manners: having more than one tRNA (with a specific anti-codon) for a particular amino acid; and 'wobble' base-pairing, i.e. permitting non-standard base-pairing at the 3rd anti-codon position. The record is from RNAcentral. Lineage: Archaea; Thermoproteati; Candidatus Bathyarchaeota. RNAcentral also lists the same sequence under 1 other name.
GCCGGGGUAGCCUAGCCUGGCUUGGGCGCCAGACUCAUAAUCUGGAGGUCGCGGGCUCGAAUCCCGCCCCCGGCACCA